This 328-nucleotide ribosomal RNA is filed under the name uncultured eukaryote. RNAcentral describes it as "partial 18S ribosomal RNA". It matches the Rfam family "Eukaryotic small subunit ribosomal RNA", at positions 1470 to 1796 of the family's 1831-position model. The record is from RNAcentral.
CCCUUAGAUGUCCGGGGCUGCACGCGCGCUACACUGAAGGAAUCAGCGUGCUAAAACCAUUGUCGAAAGGCAUUGGUAAACCCAUUAAAAUCCUACGUGAUUGGGAUCGGGAAUUGCAAUUAUUUCCCUUGAACGAGGAAUUCCCAGUAAGUGUGGGUCAUAAGCUCGCGUUGAUUACGUCCCUGCCCUUUGUACACACCGCCCGUCGCUGCCCGGGACUGAGCCGUUUCGAGAAAAGCGGGGACUGCUGCUGUCGGGGCUUUCGGGCCUUGGCUUCGGUGGAAACCGCCUUAAUCGCAGUGGCUUGAACCGGGCAAAAGUCGUAACA